AAUCGAUUUGAGUGAGCCGGCGUGUCAAUACAGGCCAGCACAGGACUGGCCUCAGGGCCACAUUGGGGAGGGUGGCGACCAGGCCCUGGCUGCAGCCCACGUGGGCAAAAGCAUGGCCAGGCAGGAGGUGGGGCCUGUGAGCUUGGCUACAGCGACCGUGGGCGCUGGGCCCGGGGCUCCUCAGCCCUGAGGGGAGACCCAGGCCCAGGCAGGCUCCCAGGCGGGCUCCCGGGCUCCCAGCCUUCCGAUCUUCUCCCUUUGAGACCUUGCCUUCUGCACAGUGACAGGAAAGAGCCCUGAGUCCCACUUUGCAGGGAUGUAUUGCAUUUCCAGAAAGUUCCUUCCGGGUGCAGAGUGAUACAUGAACCCUGGGGACUCACUCCAACUUGGUAUUGAUUUUCUCCACGGAGGACCCAGCAGUCACGGCCCGUGUCUGCACAGCCCCUUGGAUCCUGCGGAGGAAUUCAGCCGGCCCCUCCCCCUGUGCCGAAAACCACGGAGGCAAAGCCAGGCCAGGUUCAGGUUCCACGCAAAGCGCCCUCCUGUAGCCAAGCCCAGCCCCAUGAGGGUACAGUGAGAACACGGGAGAGGACUGAGAGACCGCUGGCUGCCGAGGGAGGAAGAGCAGGAUUCGCACCCCCGUCAUCGCUGGGCCCACACGCCGCCGACAGCUUCCGCGUGUGGCCAUCUGUCUUUCAGAAACCCUCUGGCAGAGGGACCCAGCAGAUGACACGGGGGCCGUUCACACUCUGAAACCUGCCUGGAGUCAAAACACUGCUGGCGAGCCUCCACCGCAAACCCAAUCCAGAUGGUCUUCCCUGGUGGCCCUCGGGGUGGCGGGCACCCUGCCCACUCCCUGCCAGCCCCUGCCCGCUGGACUCCAGGCCCGGCCGAGCCCCCGACCGGUCUCCUGACCCAGCAUGCUGCUCUCCCCUGGGCCCGGCUUUCUCGCCCGCUGGGACUCCCAGGCCCCUCCAGCCCAGCCCCGAGAGCAGGAGCCCCAAGGGAGGCUUGGCGGCUGUGGAGGCGAGUGGGCCACGUGUAGCUGGGAGGCCGGCAGGACCAGGAGCCCCUCACAGCGCAGCACCCACAGCAUCACGAGCCACUUCCACUCCUGGGUGGCCUGGGGGCCCCCACCCUGCUCUGAGCUGCCCCUUGUUGUGACCUGGGGUCCCCCGUGGUGGGCCCGCCCCUUGAGCCUGGGAUCCAGCCUCAGCGAGGCUCCAGAAGUGUCGUCUCCGCCGGCCAGGCGUCAGCGCCUCCACCCAGGAUCACACACUCCUAUCUCUGCACUUCUGCCCUCCAUCCUGCUCCACGCCGCCUCUGCUUGUUAUUCCAGCACAUUCCAGGGUGAUGCCUGCUGAAGCCACGCAGCCAGUGCCUCCACCCUACCCCCCAUCUGACCCACCGGCCCCUUCCGCACGCUGGAAGCCUGCCCGGCCUGAAGUGUCCUCACCUGUCGCCCUAUCCUCCCCUCCACUCCAGCCCACCGGUGACUCAGCCCUCACAGCUCUCUCCUCCCCGAGGGAGCCGGUGACUUGGCUCUGAUGGUGCCGGGACCCAGCCCCGGCAUGUUCAGAAUCCUUGUCCUUUAACCUGCGUCCACAUGUAGUCGCCUCCACCUCCCUGCCUGAACCUCCAGGCCCUGCAGAGCAAACACUGCUGCCUGCAGGAGACCCCUGGGGCCUUCUCCGUCCCCUCAUCCUCCUAAGGAGCCUCCCCUGCCACCGUGCCAGAAUGUGCCGGAGGAACAGAGGCCCGAGCCUCCCGUGGCCCCAGCGAGGCUUCCUCUGGGGAAGACAGUGAGCCCAACGCCCUGGCUCUCGAGGGGUGGACGGAGUCCAGCUGGCAUCGACCGGGUGCCCCUCUUCACCGGUGUCCACAGUCCUUGAGAGCAAAGGUGGUCCCAGCAGUGGAGCAGAGGGCAAGGGUGGGGCAUGUAGAGUCUCCAGGGAGCCACUGUUGGUUAGAGAGGGAGCCCGAAGUGGGCUCCGGACCCCAGCAGGGACAGCGUCCCCUUCCAGCGGGGGCAGCCGAUUGAUCUGGGCACACGAGCAGGAGGAGCGGCGCCACCCAGGGCUGACCUCACGGCCCUGCUCACGUCUCGGGGCAUUUUGGCAGACCCACCUAGACCUGGGGGACAGCCUGAUUUCCUGCAGCCAUGACCUACAAGGGUGGCAGCUCUCUCAGGCUUGAGUAACCAGGACACAGACCUGGGCCAUUUAAUGCGCAGGCAGCCCCAAGUCCCGGCAGGGCCAGAAGCAGAGACGGCGGCUGGGGAUGAAAGUGCACGCUGGUCCCAGAUGGGGCUGGGGGUGAAAGCUGCAUGCUGAUCCCUGGGCCCCCUCACUCUAUGAGCUCCUGAAAGGAGGGAAGCCCCCACACCCUACUGAGUGGAGUGCUCCUUGGCCUGGGACCCCGUCCAGUGUCUGCUGCUGUGGGGGCGGGCUCUGGGCAGAGAGAGGCCAGACAGGCACCCAGGAAAGCUGGAACACAUCCCUCCUGCUUCCCCCAGGGUUCCCAGAGGCGACCUCCCUCCUGCACAGGCAUUUGUCAUCCUUACCCUCUAGGACAGCUUUGCCAUGUGCAGUGAACCCCUGGACAGUGUUGCGUGCCACUUUGCCGGAUUUGGACUGUAUACAGACCGAAGCAUGUGGCAUGAAGCCUUCUGCUGUCAGCAAGUUCCUUGUCCCUCGACAGUAUGUGCCCAGGCUGCCCUUCAAGGUGGCAGUGAUGGCAGUUGUCUCUUGCACGCUGCGUACAGUUCUGUCACUGACUCUUACACACAGCCCUGGAGACGGGAGAGUGCCGGGAGCAUUCUAUGCAAGUGUCCUGGCCUUUGCGGGCGUCUCCACAGCACAAACACGAGUCAGGGACCACCCCUCUUCUGCUUCCAUGAUUCCACCAACUGGGUGGGGCAGAGCAGUGCCAGGGCCGGAGGCACGCCCCAGGUGAGGGCAGGUGGCCAUGCCAGUGAGUGCACUGCGUUCUCAGUUAAUUCAUCCGAAAUAUUUCUAAGUUUCUUGAUUAUUGCAGUUGCAUCCCCAAGAUAAUGCCGCCCUCACCAAGUAGAAGGCACAUGUGCUCUGAUGGCCCCUCCCACACUGGGGUCAGGGCACAGCAACUUAGCGAGGCGACGUGGGGGCUCAGAGGACCUCGGACCA
Homo sapiens (human) is the source of this 3164-nucleotide long non-coding RNA. Ensembl annotates it as long intergenic non-protein coding RNA 319. The record is from Ensembl. Lineage: Eukaryota; Metazoa; Chordata; Mammalia; Primates; Hominidae.